This 194-nucleotide ribosomal RNA is filed under the name uncultured bacterium. Its description in RNAcentral is "partial 16S ribosomal RNA". It matches the Rfam family "Bacterial small subunit ribosomal RNA", at positions 338 to 524 of the family's 1533-position model. The record is from RNAcentral.
CCUACGGGAGGCAGCAGUGGGGAAUAUUGGACAAUGGGCGAAAGCCUGAUCCAGCCAUGCCGCGUGUGUGAAGAAGGUCUUCGGAUUGUAAAGCACUUUAAGUUGGGAGGAAGGGUUGUAACCUAAUACGUUGCAAUUUUGACGUUACCGACAGAAUAAGCACCGGCUAACUCUGUGCCAGCAGCCGCGGUAAU